This 73-nucleotide transfer RNA is filed under the name Balneolaceae bacterium. Its description in RNAcentral is "tRNA-Phe". It matches the Rfam family "tRNA". Rfam says of the family: Transfer RNA (tRNA) molecules are approximately 80 nucleotides in length. Lineage: Bacteria; Pseudomonadati; Balneolota; Balneolia; Balneolales; Balneolaceae. RNAcentral also lists the same sequence under 1 other name. The record is from RNAcentral.
GGGACUGUAGCUCAGUUGGUAGAGCAACGGACUGAAAAUCCGUGUGUCGGCGGUUCGAUUCCGCCCGGUCCCA